This 190-nucleotide ribosomal RNA is filed under the name uncultured bacterium. Its description in RNAcentral is "partial 16S ribosomal RNA". It matches the Rfam family "Bacterial small subunit ribosomal RNA", at positions 1305 to 1500 of the family's 1533-position model. The record is from RNAcentral.
CUGCAACUCGACUCCAUGAAGCUGGAUUCGCUAGUAAUCGCGCAUCAGCCAUGGCGCGGUGAAUACGUUCCCGGGCCUUGUACACACCGCCCGUCAAGCCAUGGGAGUCGGGAGUGCCUGAAGUUCGUGACCGUCACAGGAGCGACCUAAGGCAAGACCGAUGACUGGGGCUAAGUCGUAACAAGGUAGC